UACGGAGGGUGCAAGCGUUGUCCGGAAUUAUUGGGUUUAAAGGGUGCGUAGGCGGUUAAUUAAGUCAGAGCUGAAAUCCCACAGCUUAACUGUGGAACUGGCUUUGAUACUGGUUAACUUGAGUACACUAGAGGUAUGCGGAAUUUAUGGUGUAGCGGUGAAAUGCAUAGAUACCAUAAAGAACACCGAUAGCGAAGGCAGCAUACUUGGGUGUAACUGACGCUGAGGCACGAAAGCGUGGGGAGCGAACAGG
This 253-nucleotide ribosomal RNA is filed under the name uncultured bacterium. RNAcentral describes it as "partial 16S ribosomal RNA". It matches the Rfam family "Bacterial small subunit ribosomal RNA", at positions 524 to 776 of the family's 1533-position model. The record is from RNAcentral.